Molecule: ribosomal RNA, 515 nt
Filed under: uncultured bacterium
Lineage: Bacteria
Description: partial 16S ribosomal RNA
Rfam family: Bacterial small subunit ribosomal RNA
Source: RNAcentral
GGUGAACGCUGGCGGCGUGCCUAAUACAUGCAAGUCGAGCGAAUGGAUUAAGAGCUUGCUCUUAUGAAGUUAGCGGCGGACGGGUGAGUAACACGUGGGUAACCUGCCCAUAAGACUGGGAUAACUCCGGGAAACCGGGGCUAAUACCGGAUAACAUUUUGAACCGCAUGGUUCGAAAUUGAAAGGCGGCUUCAGCUGUCACUUAUGGAUGGACCCGCGUCGCAUUAGCUAGUUGGUGAGGUAACGGCUCACCAAGGCAACGAUGCGUAGCCGACCUGAGAGGGUGAUCGGCCACACUGGGACUGAGACACGGCCCAGACUCCUACGGGGGGCAGCAGUAGGGAAUCUUCCGCAAUGGACGAAAGUCUGACGGAGCAACGCCGCGUGAGUGAUGAAGGCUUUCGGGUCGUAAAACUCUGUUGUUAGGGGAGAACAAGUGCUAGUUGAAUAAGCUGGCACCUUGACGGUACCUAACCAGAAAGCCACGGCUAACUACGUGCCAGCCGCCGCAGUAA